GUUGUAAUAUUUUAAUUGGAAUUACUUUAAAUUAUUAUGAAAUAUAAAAUUUAAAAUAUGUUAAAUAUAUAUAUUAAAUUAUUGAGUUUUUAAAAGAUUUAAUUAUUGAAAUUAUGAAAUAAUCUUAUAAUUAUAAAAAAAUAUAAUAUUUGUAAAUAUUUAGAUAUUUUUAUUUCUUUAAAUUUUUAAUAGGAUUUAAAAAUUUUAUAAAUUACUAAAUUAGAGUUUGUUUCAUUA
This 237-nucleotide transfer RNA is filed under the name Pneumocystis jirovecii. Its description in RNAcentral is "tRNA-Asn(ATT)". Lineage: Eukaryota; Fungi; Ascomycota; Pneumocystomycetes; Pneumocystales; Pneumocystaceae. The record is from RNAcentral.